RNAcentral lists this ribosomal RNA (838 nucleotides) under uncultured bacterium. Its description in RNAcentral is "bacterial SSU rRNA". It matches the Rfam family "Bacterial small subunit ribosomal RNA", at positions 68 to 918 of the family's 1533-position model. The record is from RNAcentral.
GAGCUGAGAAGAGCUUGCUUUUCUUAGCUUAGUGGCGAACGGGUGAGUAACGCGUGAGUAACCUGCCCUGGAGUGGGGGACAACAGUUGGAAACGACUGCUAAUACCGCAUAAGACCACGGAUCCGCAUGGAUCUGCGGGAAAAGGAUUUAUUCGCUUCAGGAUGGACUCGCGUCCAAUUAGCUAGUUGGUGAGGUAACGGCCCACCAAGGCGACGAUUGGUAGCCGGACUGAGAGGUUGAACGGCCACAUUGGGACUGAGACACGGCCCAGACUCCUACGGGAGGCAGCAGUGGGGGAUAUUGCACAAUGGGGGAAACCCUGAUGCAGCGACGCCGCGUGGAGGAAGAAGGUUUUCGGAUUGUAAACUCCUGUCGUUAGGGACGAUAAUGACGGUACCUAACAAGAAAGCACCGGCUAACUACGUGCCAGCAGCCGCGGUAAAACGUAGGGUGCAAGCGUUGUCCGGAAUUACUGGGUGUAAAGGGAGCGCAGGCGGACCGGCAAGUUGGAAGUGAAAACUAUGGGCUCAACCCAUAAAUUGCUUUCAAAACUGCUGGCCUUGAGUAGUGCAGAGGUAGGUGGAAUUCCCGGUGUAGCGGUGGAAUGCGUAGAUAUCGGGAGGAACACCAGUGGCGAAGGCGACCUACUGGGCACCAACUGACGCUGAGGCUCGAAAGCAUGGGUAGCAAACAGGAUUAGAUACCCUGGUAGUCCAUGCCGUAAACGAUGAUUACUAGGUGUUGGAGGAUUGACCCCUUCAGUGCCGCAGUUAACACAAUAAGUAAUCCACCUGGGGAGUACGACCGCAAGGUUGAAACUCAAAGGAAUUGACGGAA